RNAcentral lists this transfer RNA (74 nucleotides) under Asanoa iriomotensis. RNAcentral describes it as "tRNA-Gly". The record is from RNAcentral. Lineage: Bacteria; Bacillati; Actinomycetota; Actinomycetes; Micromonosporales; Micromonosporaceae.
CCCCCGCACGGGCGGUGCGCCCGGUGGCGCUGCCGGCGCCGUCAGCCAAGCCGUUCGAGGCGUUGGCGAAGGGC